This 235-nucleotide ribosomal RNA is filed under the name uncultured Actinomycetales bacterium. RNAcentral's name for it is "partial 16S ribosomal RNA". It matches the Rfam family "Bacterial small subunit ribosomal RNA", at positions 96 to 334 of the family's 1533-position model. Lineage: Bacteria; Bacillati; Actinomycetota; Actinomycetes; Actinomycetales. The record is from RNAcentral.
UGGCGAACGGGUGAGUAACACGUGGGUGAUCUGCCCUGCACUCUGGGAUAAGCCUGGGAAACUGGGUCUAAUACCGGAUAGGACCAUGCUUUAGUAUGUGUGGUGGAAAGUUUUUUCGGUGUAGGAUGAGCCCGCGGCCUAUCAGCUUGCUGGUGGGGUAAUGGCCUACCAAGGCGGCGACGGGUAGCCGGACUGAGAGGUUGGUCGGCCACAUUGGGACUGAGAUACGGCCCAG